CGGUGCGCCUUAUGCAUGCAAGUCGAGCGAAGCUUUUCAGUAGUUUACUACAGAAAAUGACUGAGCGGCGAACGGGUGAGUAACGCGUGAGCAAUCUACCUUAGUUACAGGGAUAGCCCGAGGAAACUCGGAUUAAUACCUGAUAUUCUUUAUAUUUCGCAUGAAAUUAAAAGGAAAGGUCAGCCGAACUAAGAUGAGCUCGCGUUCUAUCAGCUAGUUGGUGAGGUAAAAGCUCACCAAGGCUACGACGGAUAGCUGGUCUGAGAGGACGAUCAGCCACACUGGGACUGAGACACGGCCCAGACUCCUACGGGAGGCUGCAGCAGGGAAUAUUGCGCAAUGAGCGAAAGCUUGACGCAGCGACACCGCGUGUGGGAUGACGGAUCUAGGUUUGUAAACCACUUUCAGGAGGGAAGAAAAUGACGGUACCUCCACAAGAAGCCCCGGCCAACUACGUGCC
Molecule: ribosomal RNA, 460 nt
Filed under: uncultured bacterium
Lineage: Bacteria
Description: bacterial SSU rRNA
Rfam family: Bacterial small subunit ribosomal RNA
Source: RNAcentral